RNAcentral lists this long non-coding RNA (2053 nucleotides) under Sus scrofa (pig). RNAcentral's name for it is "lncRNA (ENSSSCG00030067222.1)". Lineage: Eukaryota; Metazoa; Chordata; Mammalia; Artiodactyla; Suidae. The record is from RNAcentral.
GUUAGUCGGCUGGACUGUGAGGGCCAAUGAGUCCAGUGUUCCACCUUUAGGUAGCACACUCCCUUUCUUUACAGAUGUGCCAUGGUCUUUAGGAAACCAGGUAAUCGAACACGGUAACAUCAUGAGAAAGCAAUUCAAAACACAAACUUUAAGAACAGUAUGUGUGUGUGGAGUUCCCUUCGGAUUCGUUAACCACUGCGCCACGACGGGAACUCCUGUGCAGUGAUUUUAAGCUCAGCCUGACCUCUGUAGUAGAAGCAACAUUCUUGAGCAGUGAAUUAAACAGACAGAACGAUGUUAAGAUGUACCAUGGAUUUGUAUCCAUAUGCACUUAGUCUUGAAGAAUUGUGAGAAAAGCAUCAUUGACUGUGGAGCUUAAGGAUUUGAGUCCAGUGCUGGAUAGGCUAUUUCCUGUUAAGCUGUGUGACAUUGUGCAAGUUAUUUGCAGCCUCUGAACCUCGGUUUCCUCAUCCAUAAGAUGAGGUGUUGUUUACAUUAAAUGUGGUAAGGUGUGUGAAAGAACUGAACACAUGGUGAUACCGAAUUGUUUCCCAUAAUGCUCCUCUUAAAAGAUUUUAAAUGAAAGAAUGAAUGAUUUCAUAAAUUAAAAGAUCCAAAAAGGAUAAAAAUUAUACAGUAAAAAACAAUUCUCUAUCCACCUGUAACACUUGGGCCUGUACCCUAGAAGCAUUCCCCAUCAAUAGACUCCUGUAGCCUUCCAAAUAGUAUAUGUAAGAUCUCCAUGUUUACUUUGUAUAUCAUUUGGGAUAUUCUACAUGUUAUUUUUUUCACUUAAUAGUAUACUCUGGAGAUCAUUUUAUAAUAGCACAUGUGAACAAACUUCAUUAUUAUGAGUUUGAAAGUAUCACUUUAGCCAAUCCCCUCUUUUUUAAAAUUAAAAUGUAUAGUUGAUUUACAAUGUUGUGCCCGUUUCUGCUGCAACCAGUCCCCUCUUGAUGGGCACUUAGGUUACAUCUAGGUCUUAGUUUAUUAUCAACCAUUGGGCAUUCUGACAAACAUUGCAAUUUAACAAACAAUACUUCCUGUGUAUAAAGCCCAGUUUUAAGCAUCAUUAGAUAAAUUAGAAUUUUUUUUGCCAUCAAGGAACUCAUAACCUAGGAAGUGCAGUUGGCUGACAGUUCCUGACCUGUACACAACAGUCUAAGCAACAUGACUCAGAAAUGCUUUUUCCUGUCUCCACACUGCCACUUCCACUUAAAAAUCCCUAGUGUGUCUUUCUCUUAGAGGUAUAGAAACAGCCCUAUUUUGGGUGCCUUUCUAUCUCUUGACUCCUCUUUAGUUUUGGUUCUAUCAGAGAGGCAAACCAUUACCUCUACCCAUUGUAGGUUUUCCGCUGGGACCCUAACGAAAAGAUGGAUGAACAAGAGAAAAAGCACUUUAUUUAUGUGUCCAGCCCACAUUGUGGGGAGAAACCUAAACCAAAAGUCAUUCAAAAGGGUGGCUCAGAAUUCCAGCUUCUAGAGCAUCUUCAACCAAGAACAAGAAAUGUGUAGAGUCCUGUACACAGGCCAAAGGAAAGCAGGUUUAGGCUUCCAAGGGUGCAGACUGUGGAAAGGUAAAUAUCAGGAGGAAACGAGUGGAGUGAGAUUUGUUUGCUGAUUCCUCUGGUGCCGUUUCUGGGCUGAUAAAAUGUCUCCUUUCCUCCUGGUACAGAGAGGGCACCUUUGAACAUGGAAGUUUCAGAAAGGGAAAGGAGAGUGUCUUUCUUGUACCUGCUAUUUCCUAAGUACCUUUAAUUUAAAAAAAAAUCAGUAUGCCAGAAGUUCUGUGAUGGCUCAGUGGUUUAAAGAUCUGAUGUUGUCAUUGCUAUGGCUCAGGUCACUGCUGUGGCACGGGUUCAGUCCCUGGCCCAGGAACUCCUGCAUGCCACAGGUGUGGCCAAAAGAAAAAUCAGUAUGCCAAAGUGACAUGUUCCAGGGUGACACGUUCUGGUUUCCUUUAGUACCAAAGCAUUUGCACACCAGUGAACAGAUUAUGGAGGAUCUGUGAGCUUCACCAGCCUUGUCAUUAUAGAUCAAUAAGAGAAAAAAAA